Molecule: ribosomal RNA, 253 nt
Filed under: uncultured bacterium
Lineage: Bacteria
Description: partial 16S ribosomal RNA
Rfam family: Bacterial small subunit ribosomal RNA
Source: RNAcentral
UACGGAGGGUGCAAGCGUUAAUCGGAAUUACUGGGCGUAAAGCGCGCGCAGGCGGCGUGUCAAGUCGGAGGUGAAAUCCCCGGGCUCAACCCGGGAACUGCAUUCGAAACUGGCAGACUAGAGUAUUGUAGAGGGGGGUAGAAUUCCAGGUGUAGCGGUGAAAUGCGUAGAGAUGUGGAGGAAUACCGAUGGCGAAGGCGGCCCCCUGGACAAAGACUGACGCUCAGGUACGAAAGCGUGGGGAGCAAACAGG